Molecule: ribosomal RNA, 449 nt
Filed under: uncultured organism
Description: partial 16S ribosomal RNA
Rfam family: Bacterial small subunit ribosomal RNA
Source: RNAcentral
ACUCCUGCGGGAGGCAGCAGUGGGGAAUAUUGGACAAUGGGCGCAAGCCUGAUCCAGCCAUGCCGCGUGAGUGAUGAAGGCCCUAGGGUUGUAAAGCUCUUUCACCGGUGAAGAUAAUGACGGUAACCGGAGAAGAAGCCCCGGCUAACUUCGUGCCAGCAGCCGCGGUAAUACGAAGGGGGCUAGCGUUGUUCGGAUUUACUGGGCGUAAAGCGCACGUAGGCGGACUAUUAAGUCAGGGGUGAAAUCCCGGGGCUCAACCCCGGAACUGCCUUUGAUACUGGUAGUCUUGAGUUCGAGAGAGGUGAGUGGAAUUCCGAGUGUAGAGGUGAAAUUCGUAGAUAUUCGGAGGAACACCAGUGGCGAAGGCGGCUCACUGGCUAGAUACUGACGCUGAGGUGCGAAAGCGUGGGGAGCAAACAGGAUUAGAUACCCGAGGAGUCCCAUGA